Non-coding RNA from Pelobates cultripes (western spadefoot toad), 170 nucleotides. The record is from the annotation of a GenBank genome assembly. Lineage: Eukaryota; Metazoa; Chordata; Amphibia; Anura; Pelobatidae.
AGGUUACUGUAUAAUACCCAAGUAAUAAAUGCCCUAGCCUGUUCCCUCGCUAAAGGUUAACCUGGGUAUCCAUUAGAAGUUCCUCCAAGGCCUGGGAUGUUAAAUUUUAACCUUUAGCGAGGGAACAGGCUAGGGCAUUAAUUACUUGGGUAUUAUACAGUGCUAAGCCU